ACGGAGGGUGCGAGCGUUGUCCGGAAUCAUUGGGCGUAAAGGGCGCGUAGGUGGCGGGACAAGCGUGCGGUGAAAGCUCGGGGCUCAACCCCGAGUCGGCCGUGCGAACUGUUUUGCUCGAGCACUGUAGAGGCAGGCGGAAUUCCGGGUGUAGCGGUGGAAUGCGUAGAGAUCCGGAAGAACACCGGUGGCGAAGGCGGCCUGCUGGGCAGUAGCUGACACUGAGGCGCGACAGCGUGGGGAGCAAACAGGAUUAGAUACCCUGGUAGUCCACGCCGUAAACGAUGGGCACUAGGCGCUUGGGGGAGCGACCCCCCGAGGGCCGGCGCUAACGCAUUAAGUGCCCCGCCUGGGGAGUACGGCCGCAAGGCUG
Molecule: ribosomal RNA, 373 nt
Filed under: uncultured bacterium
Lineage: Bacteria
Description: bacterial SSU rRNA
Rfam family: Bacterial small subunit ribosomal RNA
Source: RNAcentral